GUACACGCUGUGACUAGCAUAUCAAUAAGCGGAGGAAAAGAGACUAACAAGGAUUCCCCUAGUAACGGCGAGUGAAGCGGGAAGAGCUCAAAUUUGAAAUCUUAAAGGGUUUCCCUUUACGAAUUGUAGUUUAAAGAAGUGUUUUCUGUUGAGGUUUUGGUAAAAGUUCUUUGGAAUAGGACAUCAUAGAGGGUGAGAAUCCCGUAUUUGACCUUUACUUUCAACUUUGUGAUACACUUUCAAAGAGUCGGAUUGUUUGGGAAUGCAGUCCAAAAUGGGUGGUAAAUUUCAUCUAAAGCUAAAUAUUGGCGAGAGACCGAUAGCGAACAAGUACCGUGAGGGAAAGAUGAAAAGAACUUUGAAAAGAGAGUUAAACAGUACGUGAAAUUGUCCAAAAGGGAAGCGUUUGACACCAGUGUUGUUUUUCUGAAAAUCAAUUAAAGAACUGUUUAUGCUAAGUUGUUUAGACUUUAUCAGCUAACUGUUUAGUUUUGAGCUUUUCUUUAAUGCACUUUUCAGUUAACAAGUCAACAUCAAUUUCUUUUGCUGUAAAAAAGCUUGAGGAAGGUGGCUUGAGAUUCGUCUUAAGUGUUUAUAGCCUCUUGCCUAUGCAGUCGGAGAGAUUGAGGUCUGCAGCGUAGAUCCUUCGGGGCUAAAUGCAUUUGUGCUAAGUUAUAGCAUUUUAUAGACAACUUGUUGACUAUGAUUUGUCUUGUAGCUUACUCGCUUAUGUUAUUUUACCUACGCUUAGGAUGUUGAAGUCAUCGUAUCGCGC
This 775-nucleotide ribosomal RNA is filed under the name uncultured Neocallimastigales. RNAcentral's name for it is "partial large subunit ribosomal RNA". It matches the Rfam family "Eukaryotic large subunit ribosomal RNA", at positions 22 to 645 of the family's 3401-position model. The record is from RNAcentral. Lineage: Eukaryota; Fungi; Neocallimastigomycota; Neocallimastigomycetes; Neocallimastigales.